Molecule: long non-coding RNA, 215 nt
Filed under: Elaeis guineensis (African oil palm)
Lineage: Eukaryota; Viridiplantae; Streptophyta; Magnoliopsida; Arecales; Arecaceae
Description: long non-coding RNA (EGUI_LNC023597)
Source: RNAcentral
CGAAUCAACAAGUAAAUUGCCCUAGAUGACUUGAAGCCAUUCUUGUACCAUGUUUCCAAUAUUCAUCCAACCAGUUUCCUAUACAAAUUUCAUCCAAUAAUUAAGAGGAUUUUCCAUAAAAAAGAAAGGGACCACCAAUCAAAGCAUCAACUCAAUGCAUAAAUGGAACAAAACCAAUCAAACUAAAUAAGCGACAUAAUACACUAGAUCAAAUG